UACCAAAACAUUUCAUUUUUUUCUUCCUUUAAUGAUAUACGCUCCCAUCGAAUGAUACCUGGGUCUUUCCACUCCUCAAUUAAACAAAGAUUCUGAAAAAGAAAGCCAGCAAAAUAGGUAGCGAUGAAUAAGCACACAAUCAGAGCUAGAAGGAGAACACAAAAAAAAUGCAAAAA
Molecule: long non-coding RNA, 176 nt
Organism: Pomacea canaliculata
Lineage: Eukaryota; Metazoa; Mollusca; Gastropoda; Architaenioglossa; Ampullariidae
Exons: 2
Source: RefSeq, a predicted model, not a curated record